CGUAGGGUGCGAGCGUUAAUCGGAAUUACUGGGCGUAAAGCGUGCGCAGGCGGUUUUGUAAGACAGAUGUGAGAUCCCCGGGCUCAACCUGGGACCUGCAUUUGUGACUGCAAGGCUAGAGUACGGUAGAGGGGGAUGGAAUUCCGCGUGUAGCAGUGAAAUGCGUAGAUAUGCGGAGGAACACCGAUGGCGAAGGCAAUCCCCUGGACCUGUACUGACGCUCAUGCACGAAAGCGUGGGGAGCAAACAGGAUUAGAUACCCUGGUAGUCCACGCCCUAAACGAUGUCAACUGGUUGUUGGGUCUUUACUGACUCAGUAACGAAGCUAACGCGUGAAGUUGACCGCCUGGGGAGUACGGCCGCAAGGUUG
This 370-nucleotide ribosomal RNA is filed under the name uncultured organism. RNAcentral describes it as "bacterial SSU rRNA". It matches the Rfam family "Bacterial small subunit ribosomal RNA", at positions 526 to 896 of the family's 1533-position model. The record is from RNAcentral.